CCCUUCCUCCCUUACUGGUUGCAUUUCUUCCCUUCCUUCCCCUGCAUACACAGGAAGGUUGUUUUUCAGUUGAUCUGUUUAUUAGUAUUCAUAUUCCUGCCUCUGCUACUAGUUCCUUUAGCAAAAUACGGAAGAUGCCUAUUCCAGAGGUAUUUUGAGCUUACCACACCUCAACUCUGAGAAGACAAAGGUCAUGUUCAUCUUGCCGUACUGUUGGCAUCUUCAGCAUCUGGCAGCUAAUAGGCUGAGCAGUUGAUUCCGCGAGUGAGAUUCUCCAAAACUUCACUUUUUCCUUUGGCAAGGUGAUGGCGAUGUUUGAACGGUGUUGAUCCCAACAGCCUGUGUCCUUGAACAGCUGCUGCUUCAUAAAGCCAGUUUCCCAUAGGGAGUAGGAGGUCUCUGCUCCUUCAAGAUAUAGCCUGGGCAACUCUCUACACCUGUAGAAGAUUGCCUCUGACUCAGUGGAAGGAGAAACUGAAGCCCAGAGAUGUUAAGAGAAGAAAUGAUUUACUCAAACUUCAG
This is a long non-coding RNA of Phacochoerus africanus (Common warthog), 522 nucleotides long. RefSeq lists it as uncharacterized. The record is from RefSeq and is a predicted model, not a curated record. Lineage: Eukaryota; Metazoa; Chordata; Mammalia; Artiodactyla; Suidae. The transcript has 4 exons.